UACAGAGGGUGCGAGCGUUAAUCGGAAUUACUGGGCGUAAAGCGCACGUAGUCGGCUUUGCAAGUCGGGUGUGAAAUCCCCGGGCUCAACCUGGGAACUGCAUCCGAGACUGCAUUGCUAGAGUAUGGGAGAGGGAAGCGGAAUUUCUGGUGUAGCAGUGAAAUGCGUAGAUAUCAGAAGGAACAUCAGUGGCGAAGGCGGCUUCCUGGACCAAUACUGACGAUCAGGUGCGAAAGCGUGGGGAGCAAAAGGG
RNAcentral lists this ribosomal RNA (253 nucleotides) under uncultured bacterium. RNAcentral describes it as "partial 16S ribosomal RNA". It matches the Rfam family "Bacterial small subunit ribosomal RNA", at positions 524 to 776 of the family's 1533-position model. The record is from RNAcentral.